RNAcentral lists this transfer RNA (73 nucleotides) under Cyphomyrmex costatus. It matches the Rfam family "tRNA". Rfam says of the family: Transfer RNA (tRNA) molecules are approximately 80 nucleotides in length. Their secondary structure includes four short double-helical elements and three loops (D, anti-codon, and T loops). The record is from Rfam by way of RNAcentral. Lineage: Eukaryota; Metazoa; Arthropoda; Insecta; Hymenoptera; Formicidae.
ACUUUGGUAGUCUAACUGGUAAGGACGCUCGCACGAAAUGUAAAAGAUUCGGGUUCGACUCCCGGCUGAGGUA